Molecule: unclassified non-coding RNA, 204 nt
Filed under: Hevea brasiliensis (rubber tree)
Lineage: Eukaryota; Viridiplantae; Streptophyta; Magnoliopsida; Malpighiales; Euphorbiaceae
Source: RNAcentral
AGUCACCAGAUGAAUUGUCUUGGCUCCAUUUUGAAUAGAUCCUGUGAUUUAGGGAUUUAUGCUGGGCAUAUGAUGUUUUGUUUACCUCGUUCUGACAUCAAAUAGCUUAAGAAACAUCAUUUUUCAAAUGGUUUUUGGUUUUGGCCAUGUCCAAAAGGUAGUUAUAAAGAACGUAUAUGACAAAUAUAGCUGAAACAGAAAGGG